RNAcentral lists this long non-coding RNA (904 nucleotides) under Daucus carota (carrot). RNAcentral's name for it is "long non-coding RNA (DCAR_LNC006065)". The record is from RNAcentral. Lineage: Eukaryota; Viridiplantae; Streptophyta; Magnoliopsida; Apiales; Apiaceae.
GGACAAAGAAUCUCAAUAAUGAAACUCCCUUAAAAUACUUCUGAUAACUUUCUGAGAAGUUCAAAGUAUGUUUAAUAUAUUAUCCAUGGUGUUGUUUUGAUAUGGUUAGGUUCAUAAUUUAAAGCUUAUCUGCUGAUUAAAAUCAUUUCAUGAUCAUACCAUGCUGUAAAGAAGAAAGGUGCCAUCUUUUUGGAACUACUGCUUGCCCCAUGUCUCACCUUCUCAGCAGCUACCACCUUAUUAAAUUUCACAAAUAGAAGUGUCUAUUUAAGGCCUUGGGGGAAUUUUCUUGAUCUCAAGAUGAUGUUGCAGUUUACUAGCUUGUUGCAUUGCAGUUGUAUCAAAUGAGAAGAGGAAGUCGAAAAAUGUGGUGGAUGGUUCCUUGUGUAAGUAGGGAAAGAAGUUUGUGCUGCGAGUUGCGGAUGGACAUUGAUGAAAUACUCAAGGCUAAGCUUGCAACAAUCACAGAAGAGCCGGAUAUGUGUGAUGAACUGGAAAGUGUGGAGACAGAACACCGCGCUUUAGCUAAGAAGAGAACGGAGAAGAUUUAUAUGAAGGUUAAGCUGGGGACUUUUGAGCGCCUCAUCAGUUCAGCUUUAGGUGCUCUUAUGUGAUUUUUAUGAGUGGUUUUGUGUCCAAACAUGGACUUGUUGCACUUCUAGAGUCCAAUAUGGUACCUAAUGGACACCUUUGAAUUCUCUGCAUUUGAUGUCAAUCUGUGAAUAUCAUUGCUCAAAUAUAGUAGGGCGUAAAGGGAUUUCUUUGUUGGAUUGUAUAUGUGAAACUUUGUAUGUAAAUAUUGUCAUUUUGCUUACUCUUGUAGUUAACAUGUAACUGAUGGUAAGUUCCCUGGCUGACGCUUCCUCAUGAUUCUAAGUUGUAAUGAAAUAUCUGAUUUUUCGCA